AUUUACUAUAGGGUAAUUCGGGGUAAUUGACCCGUAUUUUCUGCAAGAAAUUGCGUUCCGCGUUUACCUGGGCAAGAUGAUAUAAAAAUUGUGGCAUUUUAUGGAAGAAUUUCAGAGGUCUACAUGAAGGAGUGGGCCUGCCGCAAGAAUCUCAUGGUAAAAUAGCAGAUAGCUCUAAAUCGUGGCUGGUGUGAUUGACUUGUUUGUCGAGAGAAAUCCUUGUCGAAUGGCCAUAAAUUUUUACAGCUAAUAGCCUAUCAAAAAAUAGUGAGACAUUUAAGUGUUAAUGUUUUACUCUGCAUUG
Molecule: long non-coding RNA, 304 nt
Organism: Corticium candelabrum
Lineage: Eukaryota; Metazoa; Porifera; Homoscleromorpha; Homosclerophorida; Plakinidae
Exons: 3
Source: RefSeq, a predicted model, not a curated record